Molecule: non-coding RNA, 462 nt
Organism: Physcomitrium patens
Lineage: Eukaryota; Viridiplantae; Streptophyta; Bryopsida; Funariales; Funariaceae
Source: RefSeq, a predicted model, not a curated record
ACGUUUUAAGAGUACGAGAUUAAAUGCCAACAAAUAAAGUUGGUAUAUCGAGCCAAACUCUGCUACCACUUCAACCAUUGGAGCUGGUUUCACAGAUAUUGAACAUGAAGUGGAGAGGAAUAUCAUUAAGAACCAUCCGAGAGAGGUUGGUAGACAUCACACUCAUGGCUUGCAAGCUUCAAAGGGAGCAGAGCAAAACGAGUGGCCCACAAGCAGGCGAGGCUCGAGACGACCUUCCGUCCCUAUAGUGGUCACACGUGAAACCCAAUUGCGUGGUUGUGCAGCAGUAGGGACCAGUGGCUAUCGCAUCACUGGACAAAUAGUGUUCACAACUUAGGUCAUUGUCAAAUUAGACUGCGCUCCAAAUCUACCAAAGUCUUUUGAAAUUCAUCACACCAAAUGAGCACAACAUACGGAAACCUGUAUUACAAUUUAUUUAUUUAUUUAUUUAUUUUUGUUUAA